GAUGAACGCUGGCGGCGUGCUUAACACAUGCAAGUCGAACGGUGACGACGUGGCUUCUGUCGGGUUGGAUGGGCGGCGGACGGGUGGGUAACAAGUGCGUAACCUGCCCGCUUUUCUGGGAUAACGACCGGGGACGGGUGCUGAUACUGGAUAUUCACUGAUCUUUGCAUGGGGGCGGGUGGAAAGGAUUGUUCUGGUGGGGGAUGGGCUCGCGGCGUAUCAGCUUGUUGGUGGGGUGAUGGCCUACCAAGGCUGUGACGGGUAGCAGGCCUGAGAGGGUGACCGGUCACAUGAGCACUGAGACACGCCCCAGACCCAUGCGGGAGGGAGGAGUGGAGAAUAUGGCACAAUGGGCGAAACCCAGACGCCGCGGCGGCGCGUGAGGGAUGGAGGCCUUCGGUUUGUAAACGUCUUUAUCCGAGGGUCAAGCCGCAACUGUGGGUUGUGUUGAGGGUACUGGAUGAAUAAGCACCGGCUAACUACGUG
This 486-nucleotide ribosomal RNA is filed under the name uncultured bacterium. RNAcentral describes it as "partial 16S ribosomal RNA". It matches the Rfam family "Bacterial small subunit ribosomal RNA", at positions 28 to 507 of the family's 1533-position model. The record is from RNAcentral.